RNAcentral lists this long non-coding RNA (427 nucleotides) under Mus caroli (Ryukyu mouse). RNAcentral describes it as "lncRNA (MGP_CAROLIEiJ_G0013725.1)". The record is from RNAcentral. Lineage: Eukaryota; Metazoa; Chordata; Mammalia; Rodentia; Muridae.
UCUGUGAGAGCUGAUCUGAACCGCUGCUAAGGACUGAGACGCGCCUCGAGCUGUCACUUGCCGCCUGGAGUUCGUUGGGAAAGUUGAAAAAGCCUAGUCCUGUUUAGGAAAUCUAUCCAGCUGUGUAUAUCCUUUUUGCUUUUAGGGUAUGAAGCUUAGGAAGGAUAAGAAAAACAAGAUCACACAGCUGGCAAGUGACACAAUUUAUAACUCCAGAACGAGAAUUUGCAGUUGUUGCGCCAGAUGCCCUGUAGCGGGGCUGCCACCAAGAAGGUGGAAGAACACCUUUAGUUCCAGCACUCAGGACACAGAAACAGGGUUGAGCCCAGAAAACCAUGCAAACACUUGUUCACACACAAGCCCACCGUUCUCAUCUUAAAAGGAGCAAGAGAUGGUUUAUUCUGGAGCCAUUUUGAGUAAUAAUGAC